UAAUACAGAGGUCCCUAGCGUUGUUCGGAUUUACUGGGCGUAAAGGGCACGUAGGUGGCUAUGCGUGUCGAGUGUGAAAUCUCCGGGCCCAACCCGGAAAGUGCGCUCGAAACUACAUGGCUGGAGUGCGGGAGAGGGGAUCGGAAUGCAGGGUGUAGCGGUGAAAUGCGUUGAUAUCCUGCAGAACACCGGAGGCGAAGGCGGAUCCCUGGAACGUUACUGACGCUAAGGUGCGAAAGUCGGGGGAGCGAACAGGAUUAGAUACCCUGGUAGUCCCGACCUUAAACGGUGCACACUCGGGGUGGGGCCAUUUCACCGGCCCCGUCCCCAAGCCAACGCGUUAAGUGUGCCGCCUGGGGAGUACGGCCGCAAGGCUAAAACUCAAACAAAUUGACGGGGGCCCGCACAACCACAGGAGCAUGUGGCUUACUUCGAUGCAACGCGAAGAACCUUACCUGGGCUUGACAUGGAGCUGCACGACCUACGAAAGUACGUUUCCUUCGAGGGUGCUUCCCAGGUGCUGCAUGGCUGUCGUCAGUUCGUGCCGUGAGGUGUU
RNAcentral lists this ribosomal RNA (556 nucleotides) under uncultured bacterium. Its description in RNAcentral is "bacterial SSU rRNA". It matches the Rfam family "Bacterial small subunit ribosomal RNA", at positions 521 to 1076 of the family's 1533-position model. The record is from RNAcentral.